GCUGGAGGUAUCAGAAGUGCGAAUGCUGACAUAAGUAACGAUAAAGCGGGUGAAAAGCCCGCUCGCCGGAAGACCAAGGGUUCCUGUCCAACGUUAAUCGGGGCAGGGUGAGUCGACCCCUAAGGCGAGGCCGAAAGGCGUAGUCGAUGGGAAACGGGUUAAUAUUCCCGUACUUGGUGUUACUGCGAAGGGGGGACGGAGAAGGCUAUGUUGGCCGGGCGACGGUUGUCCCGGUUUAAGCGUGUAGGUGUGUGUUCCAGGUAAAUCCGGUU
RNAcentral lists this ribosomal RNA (272 nucleotides) under Salmonella enterica. RNAcentral's name for it is "partial 23S ribosomal RNA". It matches the Rfam family "Bacterial large subunit ribosomal RNA", at positions 1272 to 1547 of the family's 2925-position model. RNAcentral also lists the same sequence under 4 other names. The record is from RNAcentral. Lineage: Bacteria; Pseudomonadati; Pseudomonadota; Gammaproteobacteria; Enterobacterales; Enterobacteriaceae.